GGGGAGGUGACAAUUAACAGAGAUUGCUUGUCAGUGAGACAGUCUUGUUUUAAGGACCUAUCAGAGUCAGGAAUGACUCAAGUCGAGAUAGGUGUAUUUGGUUCUUGUUGUUGGGCUAAAUCUCCUUCCCAGGUUCUUAAACAUAAAAUAUACAGCUUCACAGCUUUUAAAGAUAAGGAUGUAUAUAUUGAACCUAUAAGUAAAUGAUGGACAUAAAUUUUAUAAAUGAAAAUACUGGGUAGAAGAUACAGUGUAAGUGGACCAAGAUAACAAUGCACCAAGAGGGAACUAAAGAGAAGGAAAUCUUGGGACUCUAACCCUCCCCAGUGCAGUGAAGCUUUGGUUAGCAAAAUAACCAGAAUUCUCAGUCAACUAUGCACUCAGCACUGCAAAAUUUCCUGUCUAAUAGAUGUACCUAAUUUGGGGUCAAAAACUAUAUGGAUAAUAAACACAAAAUCCUGUGUACCCAAUAAAAACAAAUGAUAAUCUGAAAUUUCACUUCAAUCCUUCACUUUUUACUCUUGAGAGGAAAUCAAAAUGCUUACCUCUUCUUAGUAGGUUCCGUUGUGUUUUUCCCAAGGAUUUCUCUAAUAAAAAGCAAAUACAGUUUAUUACAUACAUAUGGGCUACUAUACCUCCCACUGUAACCAAGACGGUUUGCUUAGAGCAUAAACUUUCAUAUUUUAUUAGUAAAACAUGGUACCAGGCUGUCAGCCAUUUUCAUGCACUGGGAAAGUCAUAUAACCUCUAACAAAGAGAAAAUGAAUUUGCUCCAAUAUAAGGUGGCCAAAGACCUGCACUGGGGUGCACUCUUGACAUUCACAAAGAAGUCAACAAGUAGGUACUAAGAAAUACUCCUAACGAAUCAAAGGGGAAUUACAUCAGCCAGGUUCCUACCUCUUAUGGCUAUCCAGAAGUCCGCUGUAACUUUCCCAGAUAAAGUAAAUAAAAUGACCAAUCUCAUAUAUUAAAUAAAAAGUACCAAAGUUUCUAAUUCCAUAGUCUGUAAUUUAUUCCUAAAAGGCAUAAAGGGAGUAUACUUUUUACUGCCGUUUUCAAAUGGAAACAAGUCUGUGGGCCUAUUAUAUUUUUCAAGGGAAGAAUCUGUCUUACUGUGGAGAUAUUUUUCAUAAUAAACACUUAUUUCAAGAAGAUACCACACCUGGGGCUCAAAAUGAGUGAGUAGGCAGCCAGCGGGUUGGGGGAGGGGGUCCUCUGUCUUUAGGUCCCUUGAAGAGCAAGCCGUUACUAGAGCACCAUAUUCAUAAAAUCAUCAUCUAACAAAGUGAGGCCAGUAUCUGGCAAAAGUGGCUGAGUUCUCCUUGGGCACCAAGAAACACAGGCCAGAUGGAUGACUGCCAAGAUCUCGUAAUGGCAUGAACUGAGGGGCAAGUUUGUUUGGAUGGCACUGUGAAAAUCAACUUACCCUUCUCUAAUGCAUGCUUACUUGUACCCACAGGACUAUGUGUUUUGUUUUGUUCUCUUUUCUUUUUCUUUUUUGAGACAGGGUCUCACUCUGUCACCCAAGUUGGAGGGCAGUGAUACAAUCACGGCUCACUGCAGCCUCAACCUCCUGAGCUCAAAUGAUUCUCCCGCCUUAGCCUCCCAAUUAGCUGGGAUUGCAGGCGUGCACCAUCACGCCCAACAAACUUUUUAUUUUUUGUAGAGAUGAAGUCUCACUAUGUUGCCCAGGCUGGUCUUGAACUCCUGGCCUCAAGUGAUCCUCCCACCUCCACCUCCCAAAGUUCUGGGAUUACAGGUGUGAGCCACCAUGCCUGGCCUGUUUUGUUUUUUAAAAAUCAGUUUUACCAGAUCCUUUUGUAGUUCAUUAGCAUGAUGACUGGGUUUUCAUGCUCAUAUGUGAGAUGUGCCACCCUCAGACCUUAUUACAUCGCCACAUUACCCAUCUGAUGUGAAAAAAAAAAUCAGUUUUACCUCAUUGCUUUCUGCUCCUCCUCCAUCUGUUCUCUGACCUGCUGUAGUUCCUUCAGUAGUUCAAGAUCUGUGCCAUUCACCCAGGUGUAAACAACGUCAAUCGGCAUGGGCAGACAAAGCCUAGGGCAAACCAACAAAUCCUCCAGCUUAAAUGCAUUUUUCCAAUAUAUUUGGUAAUAAGAAUAUCACAGGGUUUAAACCCAGAGAUUAUGAAAAAAAUCUCUGAAGAAGUAAUCCAACCAUGACAUAUUAUCACAGAACUGCAUGUUUUCAAACUGUAGCUGGGGGGCUAAUAUUUGUCAAGUACCUCCUCUGUGAGUUGUAUUAUGCUAGACACUUAGGUAAUUUGCAUCACCUGAUGCACACAGCCACUCUGUAAGAAGGCUAAUAUUAGAUUUAAAGAUUGUUCGUGGGUGAAGUAGAGUAGUCUUGGAAGUUCAGUUUACAUUAAACUGCCUGUUCUCAUAAUUUAGCAAAGAAGGGAGCUGGGAUGCAAAUGCCGUCAAACAUAGAAAAUAAAUUAGAAGUUUAAAGAACAAAAUUACAGGCUCUGCACAGUGGCUCACGCCUAUAACCACAGCACUUUGGGAGGCCAAGGUGGGAGGAUCACUUGAGCCCAGGAGUUUGAGACCAGCCUGGGCAACAUAGUGAGAACCUGUCUCUACAAAAAAUUUUUAAAAUUAGCUGGGUAUGGUGGUGUGCAUCUGUAGUCCCAGCUACUCAAAAGGCUGAGGUGGGACUACAGUGAGCUAUGAUCGUACCACUGCACUCCAGCCUGGGAGACAGAUCAAGGCCUUGUCUCUAAAAAAAAAAAAAAAAGAACAAAUUACAAAAAAAGUUAUCAAAACCCACAAUGAAGACCUAACCCUACUUAAUGCUGUAGCCUUCUUGUGCCUUGCUCCCCCGCAAGCCUGCACCCUCCCCAGCCUCACCUCUGCUUUUCCUUUUUUUUUUCACAGCACUUACUACUUUUGUAACAUAUUAAAUAAUUAACUUGUAACCUAUUCCGUUAAUUAUGUGUGGCCCUCUCCUAGAAUGUAAGCUCCAAGAAAGCAGAAAACUUUCAUGCUUUGUUCUCUAAAGUAUCUGUGCAAUGAGAAGAGUGCCUGGCACACAGGUGACCAAUAAGUAUAUGCUGACAUAUGAGACACUAGUACAGAAGACCUUCCUGAACUUGCACCAUUUCUUCCUGAUCAUCUUGUCCUCAUAAUAAAGAGUCAGGCAGGCUUUUAAUUCUUGAGUAUGUUGUUUAAGCCUCACCUUAGUGAUUUUACCCAGAUUUUAUCCCUGCCAAAAGCACUCUUCCCUUUUCUCUCACUACCAAAAACCUACCCAUCUUUCAGGGGCCUGCCCAGAUGCAUGCCACUUUGACUUAUGACACAGGAGUUCAUGUGUACAUCUGGGUACUGAUACUACUUUAGAUCAGCAGUGUCCAAUCUUUUGGCUUCCCUGGGCCACAGUGGGAGAAGAAUUGUCUUGGGCCACACAUAAAAUACACUAACACUAAAGAUAGUUGAUGAGCCAAAAAAAAAAAAAUAAUAAACCACGCAAAAAAAAAAAAAAUCUCAUCAUGUUUUAAGGAAGUUUACAAAUUUGUGUUGGGCCGCAUUCAAAGCCGUCCUUGGCCACAUACGGCCCACAGGUUGGGCAAAUUUUCUUUAGAUAGUGCUAUUUCAAGUUUAGUACUUUCCAAGAAACUGUAUGGGUUUUGCAGUUUUAUUUUUAGGCCAAGGACCAAAGCAUACCCUCCUUUUGUCCUCCUCACAGCCCAGGCACAGCCUAGACUUUCAGUUGCUACCAUAUUAUCUCGUGGGAAAAUAAAUGCUAUUUGGUAGCUAAAUCUUUUGAAUUAUGGAAAGAAAAAAAUUAACAGAAAUGAAACAACCUUUAGCUUACAAGAAGUAGGGGAGAUAACUGGAUGAGUUUCUCCAUUCACUGAAUAAUUCUUAUUGAGCGCUUAAUAUGUGCUAGGUACUGUUCUAGGUGCUAGGGUUUCAGCAGUAAAUAAAACAAAGCCCAAAUCUGUGCCUUCACGGAGCUUACAUUCCAGAAGGGAGAAGACAGGAAGUAAAUCAAAUAAAUAAAGUCAGAUGAUGUUAAAUGUUGUGGAGAAAGUAAAGCAGCAAAUGGGGAUAGAAAGAGUGUCUAUGGGGAGGCGGGGCGGUCAGUUUUAAAUAGGGAGAUCAGAGAUGGCCUCAGUAAGAAGGUGACAUUUCAGCAAAGAUAUGAAGGAAGUGAGGAAGCCAGCCAGGUGGGUAACUGAGAGAAGAAUGUGCCAGAGAAAGGGAACACCAAAGGCAAAUGCCCUGAGGCAGGCGCCUAUCUUGCUUGUUCAAGGACCCAGAGGCGAGUUCCCUGAGCAGAGGGGAGAGAGGAAAUGGAAGAGAAUAGUUGAGAUGAAGGUCAAAGAGAUAACAGAGUUCCAGAGCUUCAUCUGGAAAAUAAGGAAUCACCUUAUUCUCUGGCAUAUGUGAUAGCUGAGUACUUACCAAAUGUCUUGUCAAGUUUCACCACUGCCUGCAGAAUAAGGUCUAAAGUCUUUCAUAAUCUGCACCUUAUGUUCUGGAUGAUCCAAUUGUAUACCCUUGUCCAAAGAUGAAACGAACUUGCAGGACUUUGUACCUUUGAAUAUGCUUUUCCUUCUGCCUAGAACAUUCUUUCUUUCAUGCUUCCUUUAACCACCUCCUCCUUCCUCAAUUCCCUCCCUUCCCUCACCUCUCACAAAGAGAAUCUAUAGCUUCAUAUGCAGCUUCCACACUACUUUGAACUGUAAGGAAUCCUGAUUGUACUGUGCUGUGCUAUUUUCCAUGCAGCCCUAUCUUCCACUAGAUGGAGUAUCUCUAGGGCAGAAAUGUUAUCAUGCAUUCUGUGCCCUGCUUCAUUAAUUAUUUCCUCUCUUUCCUACACCUUCGGGCUCUCUCUCCCUACUGUAAUGAUUUGCAAAGGUUUCCCUAUCUAGGGUUUUUCUGAAUUUAUCAAUAAAUAAAUUCUAAUGUUUGUAGAAUUUCCUUUUCUCACAAGCUCUCAGGUAAUGCUGAUGUUGCUGGUCCAGAAAUUGCACUUUGGGAACCACUGAUUUAUAUGUAGGUUACACACUUCGCUUUUUUUCCCCACUAAAAUGCCAAUUCUAUAUAAGGCCAAUGAGUUCAUUUUGUUCACCACUAUAUACCUAGGGCCUAGAAUAGUUCCUCCUACAUGGGUGGGGUUUAAUACAUAUUUAUUGCCUAACUAUUAGUUCAUUCCUUUAUCAUAUAUAUCAGUCUUUCUCAUUUAAAAAAAAAUCCAUCUGCCUCACACUGCCCACAUGUAAAUUAUCCAAGGUCAUCUCAUUCCCAACCUCCCAGGUGAUUUAUGCUCAGUCUAAAAAUAAAUUUUAAAAAACUGCUUCAGUGAUGUGUUUUUAAAAGAAAAGGUUAAAGGAGAGGAGAAUUACAUCUUAAGCUUUCCUGUAACUAAAUAUUUCCUGCUACUAAAUAUUUUUAAUAUAUCAUUUAUAUUAUAUUAUUUAGCUGAUUAAAACAUAAUAUACUGCAUGUAUUACAUGAUCAAUUUAACUUUGGCAAAACUGACAAAUGGAAGGAGACUGUGUGAUCUGCACGAGGUCAAUGAGUCAGUUGUUUUCCUAUUAGACAUGGUCACACUCUGAAUCUUUCAUUCUAACCACUAGACCACUAUCUUGGUUCACAGAUGAGAAGGAAUGCAUUAUCUUGGAGCUGAAAACUAAGACUAAGUCACUCAUAACUCAGAACCAAAGCAGCAAUGACACUGACAUAACUUUCAUUUUAAUCACUGUUUAGUUUAAGUGAAUAUUAAAGCCACUUAACAGUCCCUUGGUUCUACAUUCUAUAAAGUAGGUGAGAAAACAGAGAACUUAAAUAGUAUUUUGUCUUACUUAUUUAUUUAUUUAUUUAUUUACUUAUUUAGAGAUAGAGUCUUGCUCUGUCGCCCAGGCUGGAGUGCAGUGGUGCCAUCUCAGCUCACUGCAACCUAUGCCUCCCAGGUUCAACCAAUUCUCCCUGCCUCAGCCUCCCAAGUAGCUGGGAUUAUAGGCAACCACCACCGCCCUGGCUAAUUUUUGUAUUUUUGGUAGAGACGGGGUUUCACUAUGUUGGCCAGGCUGGUCUUGAACUCCUGACCUCAUGUGAUGUGCCCACCUUGGCCUCCCAAAAUGCUAGGAUUACAGGCGUGAGCCACCGUGCCUGGCCUUCAAUAGUAUUUUAGAACCAAAGAGUUGGAAGAGAUUGUAGUCUUAAUCUAAUACAAUAGCUCUUAAUCUAAUAUCCACAUUUUACAGAUGACAAAAUUGAGCCUCGGAUUGACUUAAUGCCUCACAAUUAGUAGCAGUGAAUAGUUUAUAUAUUCACUUUUACUGACAUAUGGAAUGGGAUUUUUUUCAUUCAGAGCAAACAACCUUAAAAAGAUUUAUACUGGCCAGGUAUGGUGGCUCACACCUGUAAUCUUAACACUUUGGGAGGCUGAGGUAAGAGGAUCGCUUGAAGUCAGGAGUUCGAGACCAG
Molecule: long non-coding RNA, 6452 nt
Filed under: Homo sapiens (human)
Lineage: Eukaryota; Metazoa; Chordata; Mammalia; Primates; Hominidae
Description: HSALNT0194008
Rfam family: Small nucleolar RNA U13 (bases 1813-1913)
Source: RNAcentral